ACGACCGGCGCACGGGUGCGUAACGCGUAUAGAACCUACCUUUUACAGAGGAAUAGCCUUUAGAAAUGAAGAUUAAUGCCUCAUGGUAUUGUAGACUGGCAUCAGUUUAUAAUUAAAGAUUUAUCGGUAAAAGAUGGCUAUGCGUCCUAUUAGUUAGUUGGUAAGGUAACGGCUUACCAAGACAGCGAUAGGUAGGGGUCCUGAGAGGGAGAUCCCCCACACUGGUACUGAGACACGGACCAGACUCCUACGGGAGGCAGCAGUGAGGAAUAUUGGACAAUGGAGGAGACUCUGAUCCAGCCAUGCCGCGUGUAGGAAGAAUGCCCUAUGGGUUGUAAACUACUUUUAUACAGGAAGAAACACUGGUAUGUAUA
This 374-nucleotide ribosomal RNA is filed under the name uncultured Polaribacter sp. Its description in RNAcentral is "bacterial SSU rRNA". It matches the Rfam family "Bacterial small subunit ribosomal RNA", at positions 91 to 464 of the family's 1533-position model. The record is from RNAcentral. Lineage: Bacteria; Pseudomonadati; Bacteroidota; Flavobacteriia; Flavobacteriales; Flavobacteriaceae.